RNAcentral lists this ribosomal RNA (774 nucleotides) under uncultured bacterium. RNAcentral describes it as "bacterial SSU rRNA". It matches the Rfam family "Bacterial small subunit ribosomal RNA", at positions 73 to 827 of the family's 1533-position model. The record is from RNAcentral.
CCGGAGCUUGCUCCACCGGAAAAAGAGGAGUGGCGAACGGGUGAGUAACACGUGGGUAACCUGCCCAUCAGAAGGGGAUAACACUUGGAAACAGGUGCUAAUACCGUAUAACAAUCNAAACCGCAUGGUUUUGAUUUGAAAGGCGCUUUCGGGUGUCGCUGAUGGAUGGACCCGCGGUGCAUUAGCUAGUUGGUGAGGUAACGGCUCACCAAGGCCACGAUGCAUAGCCGACCUGAGAGGGUGAUCGGCCACAUUGGGACUGAGACACGGCCCAAACUCCUACGGGAGGCAGCAGUAGGGAAUCUUCGGCAAUGGACGAAAGUCUGACCGAGCAACGCCGCGUGAGUGAAGAAGGUUUUCGGAUCGUAAAACUCUGUUGUUAGAGAAGAACAAGGAUGAGAGUAACUGUUCAUCCCUUGACGGUAUCUAACCAGAAAGCCACGGCUAACUACGUGCCAGCAGCCGCGGUAAUACGUAGGUGGCAAGCGUUGUCCGGAUUUAUUGGGCGUAAAGCGAGCGCAGGCGGUUUCUUAAGUCUGAUGUGAAAGCCCCCGGCUCAACCGGGGAGGGUCAUUGGAAACUGGGAGACUUGAGUGCAGAAGAGGAGAGUGGAAUUCCAUGUGUAGCGGUGAAAUGCGUAGAUAUAUGGAGGAACACCAGUGGCGAAGGCGGCUCUCUGGUCUGUAACUGACGCUGAGGCUCGAAAGCGUGGGGAGCAAACAGGAUUAGAUACCCUGGUAGUCCACGCCGUAACGAUGAGUGCUAAGUGUUGGA